CUCACUAUCGAUUCAACACAUCUUUUAAUUACUUUUUAAAAAAUCAGUUAUAGCAACUAGAUUAAAAUAAAUAGAAGGUUGAGGCAAUGAACCUGUUGAAGCCGAUUUUGUCACAAUCAUAGUAGAAAAAUAAAUGUAUACAAAAUUUGCCUCCAGAAUCCAAACGAAAGUGAAACGGCCAUGAAAACAAGCACGGACAGCAAUUGAACAGGACCACGUACUGCACCUUGCACUGGUGGCUAGAACCUCGACUCGAACUCUUCUUCAAUUGAUUUGUGUGUGUGUGUGAGAAGAAGAGUUGUUGUCCUUAGUGAGGAUGACCGCUGGUUUUUCAGAAGAAGAAGAUUAACGAUGGGGUUAGGGGUCGUUUUCUUUCUGCAACAACUGUGUUUGCUUUAUUUUUUUGUUGUUGGGUGUUGCGGGGUUUUUCGGCGGGUUUGGUGGUGACUGGCGGGGCUGGGAGGGGUGUGAGUGAAGAGGGUUAUGGGGUCUGUUGGUGUUUGUUGUCAAUGAAGUGAUAGGGCGUCAUUUGGAGUAGAUGACACGGGGGAGGGGGGUUCUCCUAGUAUUGCGGCGGAUUUGUUGGAGAGGAAGGGAUCUCAUCUGUG
RNAcentral lists this long non-coding RNA (608 nucleotides) under Nicotiana benthamiana. Its description in RNAcentral is "long non-coding RNA (NBEN_LNC034430)". The record is from RNAcentral. Lineage: Eukaryota; Viridiplantae; Streptophyta; Magnoliopsida; Solanales; Solanaceae.